GAUGAACGCUGGCGGCGUGCCUAAUACAUGCAAGUCGAGCGAACGGACGAGGAGCUUGCUUCUCUGAUGUUAGCGGCGGACGGGUGAGUAACACGUGGAUACCCUACCUAUAAGACUGGGAUAACUUCGGGAAACGGGAGAUAAUACCGGAGAAUCUUUUGCACCGCAUGGUUCGUAAGUGAGUGACGGUCUUGCUGUCACUUAUCGAUGGAUCCGGGCUGCUUUAGCUAGUUGGUAAGGUAACGGCUUUCCAAGGCAACGAUGCAUAGCCGACCUGAGGGGGGGGUCGGCCACACUAGAACGUAGACACGCUCCAGACUCCUACGAGAGGCAGCAGAAGGGAAUCUUCCGCAAUGGGCGAAAGCCUGACGGAGCAACGCCGCGUGAGUGAUGAAGGUCUUCGGAGCGGAAUACCCUGUUAUGAGGGAAGAACAGCUGUGUAAGUAACUGUGCACAGCUUGACGGUACCUAAUCAAAAAGCCACGGCUAACUACGUG
Molecule: ribosomal RNA, 497 nt
Filed under: uncultured bacterium
Lineage: Bacteria
Description: partial 16S ribosomal RNA
Rfam family: Bacterial small subunit ribosomal RNA
Source: RNAcentral